Molecule: long non-coding RNA, 1825 nt
Organism: Sorghum bicolor (sorghum)
Lineage: Eukaryota; Viridiplantae; Streptophyta; Magnoliopsida; Poales; Poaceae
Exons: 3
Source: RefSeq, a predicted model, not a curated record
AGUGGAAUGUGCCAUUACCAUUCACCUCAUUCAUUUUUGGGUGAUUGAGAAUGUUUAUCAGUUUAACUAAAGGUUCUAUAGCUUACUAUUCUAUUCUUACAUUAGAAAGUCUCAUUCCACAAUAAUAGUUAUACGAUUGGAUCCUUUGCAAUGCUCUUUUUCGUAUAUAAGCUGGUGAUUUUUCACCUUGUAAAGGAAUGUACAUGCUUUUUCUUUUAUGAUGAAAAGUAAUGCUUACAAACUUAUGUUUUUGCUCCUUAUGCAGCUCGGCAUUGGAACUGUCCCAGUGCUUCUGCAAAAGCUCGGCAUUGGAACUGUCCCAGUGCUUCUGCAAAAGUUGCUUCAAUAACUGUGAUGAGCUCACUGCAAUUGGUCAUCACGGUUGCCACUAUAGGAUGACUAGCGAGCGGUUGAAGUGGAGAAGGCAGCACAGGCAGCACAUACUCCAUUGAUCUCUUGUGUGAUUUUGGUAUUGGGUGGAUCUUGGCUCGAGAAAUAUGAGUCAAUUUGAUGGGAUGAGCUGCAAUUUGUUAGGCUCGAGAAAUAUCAAUUGAUUCAUGAGCUCCAGCUGAAUUUUCGCGGAGAACGCUUUUGCGGCGAGGUUGAGCCAGCAACCACGCAGGGUGACCUGAGAAAGUUGCAUAUGGAGUAGUAGAUAAGGCCAGAUACUGCACUUCUCUUCCUGUUUGGAUUUACCAAGCACCUAUUUUUUGUGUACAGACCACAAUUAUUUUUUAGUGGAUUAAUUGUGAAUGCUUAUUCUAGCACAUGAUACUAAAUAGGUGUAUCUAUGAUUUAUGAUUUUCUCAUUUGCUUUGCCUUCCUUCCCUGACUAAGUGUCACUUGAUAAAUUCUUUUCCAUUAUAUGCCAAGCAAGUUGUCUCCCUCUGUUGUGCAUAUUGAUCAAAUGGAACACGAGUCACAAGAAGCUUCAACAUUGAUAGAUCAUUAUUAUGAUUUCCAAAGGUGGUCUCUUGUUUCAAAUUUGGAGAUAUGAUUACCAUGGAGAUUGGAUGAUUUCAUUACAGACAUAUCUCGAUAUUAGGGAGUCCUGGUUUUAAUUUGAACACAACUGAAAAUAAUGCAGGCAUAGGUAAUCCAGUUUAGUUUGAUUAUCAUUUUGGAGUAUGUACUUGUUUAGCUCCUCUUGGGCAGUUUUGGCGCCGCACGCAAAUUUAUUUGUGCAAGCUUAGCUUCGCUCUCAUUUCAUUUACUGCCCAAAGCUCUACUUCUAUAUUCAUUGACCGCUCAUAGACCUAUUAAAAUUAUGUUGGAUAUUACAACCAAAAGAUCUAUAAUUAAAUAUAACAUAACUAUCUUAUUGAACUAAAGUCAAGCGGGUUCAAAGAUAAAAUAUAAAAUCUAACUUAUUCGUGCAAUGCAGUUUCAAACCUACAACUAAUGCAAAACUAUCAUUUGUCAGGUGAUUUGUUCUUAUUUUUUUGUCAGGUGAUUCUGCUGUCGUGGCGGAAGCAGCAUCCGUGCAAGUCGCGGGCGCAGGUGUGUGGCCUGUGCGUGGAGAUCGUGGAGGGCGCGAAUGUCAUGGCAGUGUGAAGAUAGUGCCCUUGCUGGUGGUGUCGACGAUGGUGUCCUCGGUGGUGGGUAUAUAUGGCAGUGAUUCUGCUGUCGCGGUAGAGGCAGCAGCCGAGCAAGCGGGUCUCCCUUAGCCAAUGGCGAGCAUGGUAGGGGCGUGUAGGCGGACCAUCUAGCGAGCCUGUGCCACCACAUGUUCCACUAAGUAGGUCAUGGCCGCGCGAUGUUGAUGUGUUUCGAGUGUUUGACUCUUUUUUUUUAUAUGUUGCAAGCCCAUAUUUCAAGUGUUUCA